AAACCAUCACUGAUCAUGGUAACCAGGAGAUCGUUAGCCGCGGUACAGCAGACAGAGCGAGGUCUCCAUCCCUGUAGUGUGAUCACGAAUGAGUUGAGUGGAAUAAUGAACCUCCAGAUGUCUAUGUACACGUGUAUGAAUAAACUGUUGUACUCGCGCGUGCGAGCUUAUCCUAUA
This is a long non-coding RNA of Ostrea edulis (European flat oyster), 177 nucleotides long. RefSeq lists it as uncharacterized. The transcript has 2 exons. NCBI's taxonomy places the organism in Eukaryota, Metazoa, Mollusca, Bivalvia, Ostreida, Ostreidae. The record is from RefSeq and is a predicted model, not a curated record.